CAGCAUUCUGUAGCAAUACAGGGUGUGGGCGCGUGGCGAACGGGUGCGUAACACGUGGAUAACCUUCCUUCAGGUGGGGAAUAACCCAGUGAAAAUUGGGCUAAUACCGCAUAACAUGACGAUGGCACAUGCUGUUGUCUUCAAAGGCGCAAGUCGCCAGAAGAGGGAUCCGCGGCCGAUUAGCUUGUUGGCGAGGUAAUGGCUCACCAAGGCAUUGAUCGGUAGCCGGACUGAGAGGUUGACCGGCCACACUGGAACUGAGACACGGUCCAGACUCCUACGGGAGGCAGCAGUGGGGAAUCUUGCACAAUGGACGAAAGUCUGAUGCAGCAACGCCGCGUGGGGGAUGAAGCUUCUCGGA
Molecule: ribosomal RNA, 361 nt
Filed under: uncultured bacterium
Lineage: Bacteria
Description: bacterial SSU rRNA
Rfam family: Bacterial small subunit ribosomal RNA
Source: RNAcentral